UGGCGUAAAAUAUGAAAGACCCGUAAAAUAUGCAAGUGCGCAUGUGCAAAGGGAUCACAACAUCCGGCGUAAAAAGUGCAAGUUGCAUAUGUAAAUAUAUUAAUAAAUCUACGAAAAGAGAUGAUAAUUAACAUUCUUAUCAUUAUGUAAUGUCAGCCACGUAAGCCAUGCUGUUGAUUGCAUAGGUGUCACACGGAUUUAACGGUGUAAUAACUGAGAACAGACUUCACAAGGUCUAAGAAGGUCUAAUACAUGCCAACAGCAAAUCAAUUCCGUUGAUGUUCUCUCUACAUAUCAAUGGACAAAUAAAGCUCUCGAUAUUAAGUGAACAAAUAACACUGGAUUACUUAAUUCAAUUUUAUAACUGCACUACCAUGACCAUGAAUAAUUGUGCUAAGGUACAGCUGGCUUGGUUUGGACACAUCACCAGGCACAACUCUUUGCAAGGCUGUUUUCCAGGGUACGCUAGAGGAAGGUCGACGAUGAGGCCAUUUGUAGAAAAGAUGGAUGGAUAAUGUAAAAAAAUGGACAUGCCUAUCCAUGGAUGAAUUACUCAAAGCUGCACACAACAGACCCGACUGGAGGAGCAUUUCUGUAUCGUGGUCCCUCAUUUUCCCAAACAAGCUGAACCAGUUUGAGAAUAACUGGGAUAAAGAAAUAAUUUAAUCUAACAGUCAUAUAUUUGAAUUUUUGAACACGCCAAUCUAUAUUAUGUAUAUGUGCAGAAUCUUUACCUCUCAGACUAUGACAUUACCAAUUUAAAGUACUGGAAAUUUAGUUAAGUUUAAGUAAAAAUUACAUUUGUUUCAUAAA
Dreissena polymorpha is the source of this 813-nucleotide long non-coding RNA. RefSeq lists it as uncharacterized. The record is from RefSeq and is a predicted model, not a curated record. The transcript has 2 exons. Lineage: Eukaryota; Metazoa; Mollusca; Bivalvia; Myida; Dreissenidae.